This is a long non-coding RNA of Sapajus apella (tufted capuchin), 283 nucleotides long. RefSeq lists it as uncharacterized. NCBI's taxonomy places the organism in Eukaryota, Metazoa, Chordata, Mammalia, Primates, Cebidae. The record is from RefSeq and is a predicted model, not a curated record. The transcript is spliced from 3 exons.
UCGGCUAAUUUUUGUAUUUUUAGUAGAAACGGGGUUUUACCAUGUUGGUUAGCCAGGCUGGUCUUGAACUCAGGUGAUCUGCCUGCCUUGGCCUCCCGUAAUGGUGGGAUUACUGGCUUGAGCCAUGUCCAGCCAAAGCCUCGUGUUCUGAACUUUGUUGAGGUCUGCCUGAAUGAGCUUUCCUCUGAUCGUGGGGACCAAGUCCCUGAGUGGAGGGCCAAGAGCUAGGAAUAGGGGAUCAGUGUGUGGAGGAGACCCAGAAUGGUCUCCAGGGAGGAAGGAA